AACCAUUCUCACCUGCGGCUAGACCUGCGGAAGGAUCAUUACCGAGUUUACAACUCCCAAACCCCUGUGAACAUACCACUUGUUGCCUCGGCGGAUCAGCCCGCUCCCGGUAAAACGGGACGGCCCGCCAGAGGACCCCUAAACUCUGUUUCUAUAUGUAACUUCUGAGUAAAACCAUAAAUAAAUCAAAACUUUUAGCAAUGGAUCU
This 208-nucleotide unclassified non-coding RNA is filed under the name soil metagenome. RNAcentral's name for it is "partial contains 5.8S ribosomal RNA, internal transcribed spacer 2, and large subunit ribosomal RNA". The record is from RNAcentral.